Molecule: ribosomal RNA, 2388 nt
Filed under: alkali sediment metagenome
Description: bacterial LSU rRNA
Rfam family: Bacterial large subunit ribosomal RNA
Source: RNAcentral
AGAGCGGACGAUGGAUGCCUUGGCGCCGGAUGGUGAUGAAAGACGCGGUUAGCUGCGAAAAGCUUCGGGGAGCCGCUAAACAGGCAUUGAGCCGAAGAUCUCUAAAUGGGGGAACCCAUUCCGGGUAAUUCCGGGAUAUCUAUUGCUGAAUCCAUAGGCAAUCGAGGCGAACGAGGGGAACUGAAACAUCUCAGUACCCUUAGGAAAAGAAAACAACCGUGAUUCCCAAAGUAGCGGCGAGCGAACUGGGAACAGCCCAAACCGAAUGCAUGCAAGCCUGCAAGCGUUGUGCAUCCGGGGUUGUGGGGCCUUAUCGGAGGGAAUUGCAGAUCCCUCGGCAAGUCAAAAAUCCAAUGGAUAGUCGAACGGCCUGGAAAGGUCGACCAAAGAAGGUGAUAGUCAACCCUGCGUGAAUCUGGGAGGACCAUCUUCCAAGGCUAAAUACAAGCCGGCGACCGAUAGUGAACUAGUACCGUGAGGGAAAGGUGAAAAGAACCCCGGUGAGGGGAGUGAAAUAGUACCUGAAAUCGUCCGUUUACAAGCAGUGGAAGAACUAUUGGAGCCGUAGGGGGUUCGCCCUCUUGGUUUCAAGUUCGACUGCGUACCUUUUGCAUAAUGGGUCAGCGAGUUACUCUGUGUUGCAAGGUUAAGCCGUUAGGUGUAGCCGAAGCGAAAGCGAGUCUGAAAGGGGCGUUGAGUAGCGCGGAGUAGACCCGAAGCCAGGUGAUCUAUCCAUGGACAGGGUGAAGGCCGAGUAACAUCGGCUGGAGGCCCGAACCGCAGAAGGUUGAAAACUUCCCGGAUGAGCUGUGGAUAGGAGUGAAAGGCUAAUCAAACCUGGAAAUAGCUGGUUCUCCCCGAAAUAUAUUUAGGUAUAGCCUCACAAAUUAAGUAACGGGGGUAGAGCACUGGAUGGGCUAGGGGUCCUACCAGAUUACCAAACCCAACCAAACUACGAAUACCGUUAACUUCUAUUGUGGGAGUCAGACAGCGGGAGAUAAGUUUCGUUGUCAAAAGGGAAAGAGCCCAGACCGCCAGCUAAGGUCCCUAAAUAUGUGCUAAGUGGUAAAGGAUGUGGAAACGCAGAGAAGGUUGGCUUAGAAGCAGCCAUCCUUUAAAGAAAGCGUAACAGCUCACUGGUCAAGUGAUUCUGCGCCGAAAAUUUAACGGGGCUUAAGCACAUUACCGAAGCUGCGGAUUCUUCCCGAUUCAUCGGGAAGGAUGGUAGGGGAGCGUUCCAUCCUGGAGUGAAGCCAGACCGUAAGGACUGGUGGACCGGAUGGAAGUGAUCAUGCUGACAUGAGUAACGAUAAAGCGGGUGAAAAACCCGCUCGCCGUAAGCCUAAGGUUUCCUGAGUAAAGUUAAUCUUCUCAGGGUUAGUCGAUCCCUAAGCCGAGGCCGAGAGGCGUAGGUGAUGGAAAACAGGUUAAUAUUCCUGUACCACCAUAUUGGCGUUUGAGUGAUGGGGGGACGCAGGAGGGUAGGUCAUUCCGGUGAUGGAUGUCCGGAUUCAAGCUGGUAGGUGGAGAGGAUAGGCAAAUCCGUCCUCUUAUUCAACACCGAGAAGUGAUGAGGAGAGACUUAGUCUCACAAACUGGCUGAUCCCAUGCUGCCAAGAAAAGCCUCUAGCGAGUCAAUGUGGUGAUCGUACCGCAAACCGACACAGGUAGGUAGGGUGAGUAUCCUAAGGCGCUCGAGAGAACUCUGGUUAAGGAACUCGGCAAAUUGACACCGUAACUUCGGGAGAAGGUGUGCCCUCAUUAGGUGAAGAGACUUGCUUUUGGAGCCGAAGAGGGUUGCAGAGAAAUGGGGGUAGCGACUGUUUACUAAAAACACAGGGCUCUGCUAAGUCGCAAGACGAUGUAUAGGGUCUGACGCCUGCCCGGUGCUGGAAGGUUAAGGGUUGAACCGAAGCCCCAGUAAACGGCGGCCGUAACUAUAACGGUCCUAAGGUAGCGAAAUUCCUUGUCGGGUAAGUUCCGACCUGCACGAAUGGCAUAACGACUUCCCCACUGUCUCAACCAGGGACUCGGUGAAAUUGAAUUCGGGGUGAAGAUGCCCCGUACCCGCGAAUAGACGGAAAGACCCCGUGAACCUUUACUAUAGCUUGACAUUGGAUUUUGGGCUUGUAUGUGUAGGAUAGGUGGGAGACUUUGAACUCUCGACGCUAGUCGGGAGGGAGUCGACCUUGAAAUACCACCCUUAUUGGUUUAGAAUUCUAACCUUGACCCGUUAUCCGGGUUGGGAACAGUGUCUGGUGGGUAGUUUGACUGGGGCGGUCGCCUCCCAAAGAGUAACGGAGGCGCGCGAAGGUUCCCUCAGGCUGAUUGGAAACCAGCCGUAGAGUGUAAAGGCAUAAGGGAGCUUGACUGCGAGACUGACAAGUC